RNAcentral lists this unclassified non-coding RNA (2565 nucleotides) under Hevea brasiliensis (rubber tree). Lineage: Eukaryota; Viridiplantae; Streptophyta; Magnoliopsida; Malpighiales; Euphorbiaceae. The record is from RNAcentral.
CUCAGCUAUUCUUGCGACUUCUCCACGUGGCAGAUUCAGAAAGCGGGAGCAGGCACCGUACGAACGUAGGAAGCACCUAAGACGCUAAUUAACAAAACGAAAACCGGUUUCCCGCUAAAACUAAAACACACGCUUUAAUUAGCGAUUAAUUAGGAAUUAGUGGUGUUACCUUUCUUAACGCUUCUUCGAGAUUAAGCCAAAUAUCUCUUACGUGUCGUCAACCAACUUCAGCUCUUCUCCCUGUCCGACACAUGGCAUUUGUCUUUCCUCUUUCUUCUCUCUUUUUCUUCCUCUCCGCAGUCCCUAGACGUCUGAAAUCCAAAACACAACACAUCAAAUAGAAAAGAAAUACUAGAACUUGUGAAACAUCUUCGUGGGUGCCAUAUGGAAAGCCUAGCUUGAAGUGUUUUUUAAGGUUGCUGAUUUGCUGUUUCAAUGGGAAGUGACGAUUGUGCAAUGGUGACAAAAACAGCUUUGAAAGAAGAAGAGAUAGAGCUAGAGCUAGAGCUUGGAUUGUCCAUAGGAGGGAGAUACAAAAGACAAAACGGUACCAAUUCGAUAUCUGAUACUACUGUUGAUAUGGGUUCAAAAGAAAAGCAUCCAAGUUGCCCAAGAUCUAGCGUGUCUCGUUGUUUUAAUGGAGACAUUGUGCAGGAAAUAGAUCCCAAGACAAAGCGUGAGAUUCAUGCGUUGAGGAGACAGGAGGCGAAGAAGAAGAGAGAAGAGAAGCAGCUAAGGAAAGGUUUUUGUAAAGGGUACUUGAACGGCGGUCAACAAAUUAAUGGAGAGAUUAAUGUUAAUAAUAACAAUGGGAUGUGGUUAAAGGCGAAAGCUUUUCAAGCUAAGGAGAGAGUGGCUGACACGGAAGAGCGACAAUGCAAGAAAAGCAAGACAUAUGAUAUUGGAUCUGAUCACAAUGACACAAAGAAGGUGAAUCUGAACUUAUGCGUCGAUCAAAACCAUUGUACUUCUUAUCCACCGCCAUCUACUUUGUCGCCAGUGCACCCGGUUCUGCCGCUGCAGUACCCACAGCCGUCGUUACAAUAUGGCCAGCCUGAGAAUGGAUUUGUGUUCCCUUGUGCGAAUGUGAAUGUCAUGCCUUGUUGGUUCACAGGUGGGGAUGAGAAGAAUGUGGGUCAGGUUCAACCUUUGGUUGGCUACGGCUUUGUGCCAUUUCAGGCUGCGUCGAUUCAAGGUCAUAAUCUGGGUAAUGGGUAUGAGUCGGAGCAGAAUGGCAGCCGAGAUGGAGGGAAGAGGAAAGCUGGGUCGAACGGGUCCGCCACUUGUACCUCCUCUACGGGUUCCGAUCACAGGAGCUUUUCUCACGAAGGUAUUUGUAUUUCCCACAGAAAACAUGAUAAAAGUUAAAUUUUUUAGAUAACUAGAGAACUAAUUUUCAAUUUUGUAUUUGAAAAACUUUUACAUUUAAAUACUAUAAUCAACUCUACUAGUUCUCUCCUUUUCGUGUAAGGUUUAUAUGAUUUGGUUUAAGAAUUAGACAGAGUAGGACUUGAAAAGAAAACUUAAUCUUCUUAAAAAUUGAAUUUAUGUAGGCGAAUCUAUCAAUCUGCUUAUUGAUUUCAAGCUCUAGACUUAACUGGAUAUAAUUAUGGAAAGUUUAAUCUUUUCCUUGGGUAAGACUAUAUAUUAAUAUCAGAUAUUUUGCAGGAGGUGGCAGAAGCGACAUCAGAAGCCAUUCAAGUCCCUUUGAACCAGAAAAACCUCAAUUGAAUUGUUCAAUUGUAAAUGAUGUGAAGGGCUCGUUUGAACACAGUGCAACAUCUCUCCUCACGGAUAAUUGUGCUCAAGUUAAUGAUCCAUCAAAUCACGUUGAGAAAAUGAUUCAAUUCAAUAGUCCUCAAUCCAGCCCAACAGGACCCAACGAAGAAGCCGAAUUAGAAACAGAACUAGAUCUUAGCAACAGCCACAUAUCAACUCCUGAAAGCCCAACGAUGGCGGAAAACAAAGGGGACGUGGUGGGCAAGUCGCCUAAGCCACCAGCCCAGAAUCACAGUACCCAUAUUUCUUCCUUACCUUACAUGCCGUGUGUUUCAACGACAGGAAACAGUCCAAAUGGGAAAACCAUUAAUGGGUUUCUGUAUAGAUACACAAAAACAGAGGUUAGCAUCAUUUGUGUCUGCCAUGGAACGUCGUUUUCACCGGCGGAGUUCGUGCAACAUGCUGGGGGUACAGAUGUUUCACACCCUCUAAGGCACAUUACUGUGAUUCCAUCACCUCUUUGACAUCACAUUGCGGGUAGUGAUAUUUAACGGAUCCCUUGCGAUGAAUAUAUAUCGAGUUACAUGAGCUCUUCCUGGCAAAUGGUAGGAGGAGGCUCGUUUUUGCUUUUUAGCUUGAACUUUCUAACUGAAUUAACAGACACUGGAUUGUGGAUGUAUAUUUGAUAUCUCGCUUCUGGAGCCACAAUCAUUUGUACGUUUUAAAUUUCCGGCUUUGUAGUUUGUAGGUGGAGGUUGCCCUGGUCUGAUUCGGCAUGAGAUUAUAAUUAAAUAGGUCCGAUUCAGAAUUAAAAUUAAAUUGAAAUCAAUCAUAUUUGAAUCGUGG